Molecule: ribosomal RNA, 253 nt
Filed under: uncultured bacterium
Lineage: Bacteria
Description: partial 16S ribosomal RNA
Rfam family: Bacterial small subunit ribosomal RNA
Source: RNAcentral
UACAGAGGGGGCAAGCGUUAUUCGGAAUUAUUGGGCGUAAAGGGCGCGUAGGCGGCUUUGCAAGUGACGGGUGAAAUCCCUCGGCUUAACCGAGGAACUGCCUGUCAAACUGCAUGGCUUGAGACCGGGAGAGGUGAGUGGAAUUCCCAGUGUAGCGGUGAAAUGCGUAGAUAUUGGGAGGAACACCAGUGGCGAAGGCGACUCACUGGACCGGUACUGACGCUGAUGCGCGAAAGCGUGGGGAGCAAACAGG